RNAcentral lists this long non-coding RNA (752 nucleotides) under Trifolium pratense (red clover). RNAcentral describes it as "long non-coding RNA (TPRA_LNC008037)". The record is from RNAcentral. Lineage: Eukaryota; Viridiplantae; Streptophyta; Magnoliopsida; Fabales; Fabaceae.
AGGUUUUUUCUUGGUUACCUUCACAAAGAGGUGUGUAAAGAGCACACCUGAUGUGGAUCCAAUUAAAAUUAGCCAGCUGUAUUAUUUAUUUCUCUUUUUAAUUUACAGAUUUUCUUUUUUUUCACAAAAAAAAAAAAAUUGUUUCUAUCACCUAGAGAACAGAGAACACGCUUCAUCUUCUUUCUCUGGUUUUUCUUUGUUUCCUAUUCUUCUUCUCCAUACCCAUUUUCUUGCUUCGUACAAGUUGAAUUUCACUUCAUCAUCUUAAGAAUCAAACUUGAAUCAAACUUGUGUUCAUCGAAUUAGCAUCCUACAAAAAUCAACCAAUCUUUCUAUUUCUACUACAACAUUUACAUGUAAGUUACUCUAUCUCUUGAUUUUUUGGGUUUUUCACUUCCUUUAGUUUUAGGUUAGUUUUGUUUGUGUUUGGUGCUUUGAUUUGUUACCGAAUUUUGCACCGUGGGUAAUUGAGGUUAGCUUUGAUUUCUUUGUUAACUCAGUCAUUGUGUAUUGCAUACAAACUCAGUCUUUUAUAAUCGCACGAGGAACUCUCAUUCUAUAAAAAAUUGCAUGUCGUGAAAUCUAAAGUUUUGGUAUUAUUUGUUGAAACAUUGUGUUUAUUUCUUGUUGAAACUUUUAUCUGGUGCUUAUCCAACAUUUAACAUGUUCAUGUUCUGCUCUGGGAUGGUUUAAUCACCUUGAUAGUUAAUUAAGGGAGCUGUCUGUGUGAUUUUAAUUGUUAUCUUCUGAUA